This 371-nucleotide ribosomal RNA is filed under the name uncultured bacterium. Its description in RNAcentral is "bacterial SSU rRNA". It matches the Rfam family "Bacterial small subunit ribosomal RNA", at positions 431 to 793 of the family's 1533-position model. The record is from RNAcentral.
CACUUUCAGUAGGGAGGAAGGUAGUGUAGUUAACACCUGCACUAUUUGACGUUACCUACAGAAGAAGCACCGGCUAACUCCGUGCCAGCAGCCGCGGUAAUACGGAGGGUGCGAGCGUUAAUCGGAAUUACUGGGCGUAAAGCGCAUGCAGGCGGCCUGUUAAGUCAGAUGUGAAAGCCCGGGGCUUAACCUCGGAAUUGCAUUUGAAACUGGCAGGCUAGAGUCUUGUAGAGGGGGGUAGGAAUUUCAGGUGUAGCGGUGAAAUGCGUAGAGAUCUGAAGGAAUACCAGUGGCGAAGGCGGCCCCCUGGACAAAGACUGACGCUCAGAUGCGAAAGCGUGGGGAGCAAACAGGAUUAGAUACCCUGGUAG